Molecule: ribosomal RNA, 301 nt
Filed under: uncultured bacterium
Lineage: Bacteria
Description: partial 16S ribosomal RNA
Rfam family: Bacterial small subunit ribosomal RNA
Source: RNAcentral
CAGUAGCCGCGGUAAUACGUAGGGUGCAAGCGUUAAUUGGAAUUACUGGGCGUAAAGCGUGCGCAGGCGGUUAUAUAAGACAGAUGUGAAAUCCCCGGGCUCAACCUGGGAACUGCAUUUGUGACUGUAUAGCUAGAGUACGGCAGAGGGGGAUGGAAUUCCGCGUGUAGCAGUGAAAUGCGUAGAUAUGCGGAGGAACACCGAUGGCGAAGGCAAUCCCCUGGGCCUGUACUGACGCUCAUGCACGAAAGCGUGGGGAGCAAACAGGAUUAGAUACCCCGGUAGUCCCUGUCUCUUAUAC